This 452-nucleotide ribosomal RNA is filed under the name Staphylococcus aureus. RNAcentral's name for it is "bacterial SSU rRNA". It matches the Rfam family "Bacterial small subunit ribosomal RNA", at positions 1 to 441 of the family's 1533-position model. Lineage: Bacteria; Bacillati; Bacillota; Bacilli; Caryophanales; Staphylococcaceae. The record is from RNAcentral.
UUUUAUGGAGAGUUUGAUCCUGGCUCAGGAUGAACGCUGGCGGCGUGCCUAAUACAUGCAAGUCGAGCGAACGGACGAGAAGCUUGCUUCUCUGAUGUUAGCGGCGGACGGGUGAGUAACACGUGGAUAACCUACCUAUAAGACUGGGAUAACUUCGGGAAACCGGAGCUAAUACCGGAUAAUAUUUUGAACCGCAUGGUUCAAAAGUGAAAGACGGUCUUGCUGUCACUUAUAGAUGGAUCCGCGCUGCAUUAGCUAGUUGGUAAGGUAACGGCUUACCAAGGCAACGAUGCAUAGCCGACCUGAGAGGGUGAUCGGCCACACUGGAACUGAGACACGGUCCAGACUCCUACGGGAGGCAGCAGUAGGGAAUCUUCCGCAAUGGGCGAAAGCCUGACGGAGCAACGCCGCGUGAGUGAUGAAGGUCUUCGGAUCGUAAAACUCUGUUAUUA